UCUCCGUAGGUGAACCCGCGGAAGGAUCAUUAAAGAGAUGCUGACCUCACGGGUAGUCCUCCCACCCCUUGCUUACAAUACCUUUCUGGCUUUCCCCGGUCCCCUUGGCCCCGCGCCGUACAACCCGCCCCCGCUGGGCACUUCACUCCUGAGAAUCGAAAACCUCUAUUUAUAUUUCGUCUUAAUACGAUGUAACAGUUAAAACUUUCAACAAUGGAUCUCUUGGUGCUGGCAACGACGACAGACCCGACAGACCGGAAUAGGACACGUAGUAACUCC
This 279-nucleotide unclassified non-coding RNA is filed under the name plant metagenome. Its description in RNAcentral is "partial contains small subunit ribosomal RNA, internal transcribed spacer 1, and 5.8S ribosomal RNA". The record is from RNAcentral.